This 77-nucleotide transfer RNA is filed under the name Brevibacillus ruminantium. RNAcentral describes it as "Brevibacillus sp. BB3-R1 tRNA-Met". It matches the Rfam family "tRNA". From Rfam's summary of the family: Transfer RNA (tRNA) molecules are approximately 80 nucleotides in length. Their secondary structure includes four short double-helical elements and three loops (D, anti-codon, and T loops). The record is from RNAcentral. Lineage: Bacteria; Bacillati; Bacillota; Bacilli; Caryophanales; Paenibacillaceae.
GGCGGUGUAGCUUAGCUGGCUAGAGCGUUCGGUUCAUACCCGAAAGGUCGGGGGUUCGAGCCCCUCCGCCGCUACCA